Molecule: ribosomal RNA, 253 nt
Filed under: uncultured bacterium
Lineage: Bacteria
Description: partial 16S ribosomal RNA
Rfam family: Bacterial small subunit ribosomal RNA
Source: RNAcentral
UACGUAGGGGGCAAGCGUUGUCCGGAUUUAUUGGGCGUAAAGCGCGCGUAGGCGGCGCGGUAUGUCGUGCGUGAAAUCUCCCGGCUUAACUGGGAGGGGCCGUGCGAAACUGCCGGGCUUGAGGUCGGAAGGGGAAAGUGGAAUUCCGGGUGUAGUGGUGGAAUACGUAGAUAUCCGGAGGAACACCAGCGGCGAAGGCGGCUUUCUGGUCCGAUACUGACGCUGAGGUGCGAAAGCGUGGGGAGCGAACAGG